RNAcentral lists this ribosomal RNA (305 nucleotides) under uncultured bacterium. Its description in RNAcentral is "bacterial SSU rRNA". It matches the Rfam family "Bacterial small subunit ribosomal RNA", at positions 335 to 639 of the family's 1533-position model. The record is from RNAcentral.
UACCUACGGGGGGCAUCAGUGAUUAAUCUUGUUCAAUUUCCUAAGGGCUGAACCAGCCAAGCCGCGUGAAGGAAUAAGGCCCUACGGGUCGUAAACUUCUUUAGUCAGGGAACAAAGGGAGCCACGCGUGGCGCUGUGAGUGUACCUGAAGAAUAAGCAUCGGCUAACUCCGUGCCAGCAGCCGCGGUAAUACGGAGGAUGCGAGCGUUAUCCGGAUUUAUUGGGUUUAAAGGGUGCGUAGGCGGUUUGUCAAGUCAGCGGUAAAAAUUCCGGGCUCAACCCGGUCCCGCCGUUGACACUGGCGG